Molecule: long non-coding RNA, 1274 nt
Filed under: Equus caballus (horse)
Lineage: Eukaryota; Metazoa; Chordata; Mammalia; Perissodactyla; Equidae
Description: lncRNA (ENSECAG00000046861.1)
Source: RNAcentral
CAGAAACAGUCAGCGCGGAGAGGACUGUGCAGCAGCUUCCAGGAACUGCCUCACUCACGCUUUGAUAUUCAUCCUCUGCAGAAAUCUGCUCAUCUCUGCAGCUUCAAAGCAGCACGCAGGAAUCAGAGAUGCUUACAUCAGCAGGAGACCUGGGAGAUGUUCUAUGGCAUCUCUGCCAUCGUACAGACUUCUCCAUCAAGGGCUUGAGCUGCAAAUAUGAAUAAAAAAAGUUCCCUGCUGUCAAGGUGAUCCUGGAUCAUCACAAGAGAGACAGCCGAUCUAAGUGAAGAGAGAAUGUAGCUCUGAUGGAGACAUAAGAUGUUGGGUUGAUACACAGUGAUGCCUUAUGGAACCCAAGGGCUGUCAAGCUUCGGGAGGUAUGGAAACAGGAAAUGAACAAGCAGGAGCCAGGACUGACUGAGCCUCUCAGUUUCCCAUUUCACAGUUUCUUCCCUCUGUACCUUCUCUCUCUCCUUGUUUGCCCACGUGACUGAAGUUGGCCACCCUUCAACUGACGGACACCCUUACAGAUGGCUGUCCCAUUGUAGUGUGGUGAGGUCAUACUAUAACAUAAGACGCCACAGCCAAAGUAGGAGGCUUGUAAAUGCAGGAGGCACCCCCAGGUACUUCUCAGAGAUGAUGAAAGGGAAGAGGAAGUGAGGGGCAGGCACAGGCGGUGGUUGUAAUUUGAGUCACUUAUGUCAGCUGUCUGUACCCUCUUUCAGACAGCUCGUUCCACUUCUCUGAGCCUGGAGAAGAGUGAACAAAAGCCUCGCUGGGUUUGGAGGAGGGAGGAGCUGCCCACUGCUCUCCCCAGGGAGCCCUGGAGCUGGCUGCCAUGUAGAUGCUCAUGGCAGGUGUGGAGAUGUGAGGCUGGCACAAGGCCAGACCCCAUUGUUUUGUGGACUGAGUAGGAAAAGCUCCUGCACAGAAACAACAGAGACUGGAGACCGUGUGUGGGAUUUUCUCUUUCCCUCAGCACAUCUCUACCUCCAUCCUGGUCCCGCUUUAGGAAGGAGGAGGUUUUGGGUGUUCUUGUCCCUAGCAGCCCACUGUUACCGCUGGAAUUCGUUUAAAGGCUCCAUUCCCAUAACCAAUUACAGGGCAAAGGCUUUUAGCAUGAAUUCGUCUUUCUGGGGUAGGCAUUUCAGAUCGCAAAGAGCCCUUUGGGAAAGCUGAACUUCAUCACUGGGGAAGGUGAGGGGAUGAAAAUGGGGUCACUGUCUUAGUUGAUAUCAGUUGGCAUUUCUCCCAAAAGCAAACACUUGUUUCAC